Molecule: unclassified non-coding RNA, 304 nt
Filed under: Hevea brasiliensis (rubber tree)
Lineage: Eukaryota; Viridiplantae; Streptophyta; Magnoliopsida; Malpighiales; Euphorbiaceae
Source: RNAcentral
GCCGGAAUGAGUAGUUCCUUUAGAGCUUUGAUAACAAGUGCAGAAUCACCUUUUGGUCUUACUCUACGGAACCCCUCUGUUUCGCUAAUAGAAUAGCUUUACGACAUGCUAAACUCUCUAGGAUCAGAGGGUCAGAUUGAUGAGCAAAAAUCCUGCAGCACCAAUCAAGAGGCUUGCCCGUGAAAUAUCGGACAACAACAGCUACCGCUUCUCUAAAAUAGUAUCCAAGAGAAACCUCAAGGGGCAGCUAUUGACACUUGCAAAUUUGAGCUUAAUAACACCCUUGUGGUGGGGGGUAGUUGGU